Molecule: non-coding RNA, 100 nt
Filed under: Moorella sp. (in: firmicutes)
Lineage: Bacteria; Bacillati; Bacillota; Clostridia; Neomoorellales; Neomoorellaceae
Description: Moorella sp. Guanine sequence
Rfam family: Purine riboswitch aptamer
About the family: Riboswitches are metabolite binding domains within certain messenger RNAs that serve as precision sensors for their corresponding targets. Allosteric rearrangement of mRNA structure is mediated by ligand binding, and this results in modulation of gene expression.
Source: RNAcentral
UAAUAGGAGUAACGCCGGCUUCGUAUAACCCCGGUAAUUGGUCCGGGGGUCUCUACCAGUUGACCGGAAUCACCUGACUACGAAGGAAACCCUUCGUAUG